Molecule: ribosomal RNA, 253 nt
Filed under: uncultured bacterium
Lineage: Bacteria
Description: partial 16S ribosomal RNA
Rfam family: Bacterial small subunit ribosomal RNA
Source: RNAcentral
UACGUAGGGUGCGAGCGUUGUCCGGAAUUAUUGGGCGUAAAGAGCUCGUAGGCGGUCUGUCGCGUCUGCUGUGAAAACCCGAGGCUCAACCUCGGGCCUGCAGUGGGUACGGGCAGACUAGAGUGUGGUAGGGGUGACUGGAAUUCCUGGUGUAGCGGUGGAAUGCGCAGAUAUCAGGAGGAACACCGAUGGCGAAGGCAGGUCACUGGGCCACUACUGACGCUGAGGAGCGAAAGCAUGGGGAGCGAACAGG